RNAcentral lists this ribosomal RNA (497 nucleotides) under uncultured bacterium. RNAcentral describes it as "partial 16S ribosomal RNA". It matches the Rfam family "Bacterial small subunit ribosomal RNA", at positions 28 to 507 of the family's 1533-position model. The record is from RNAcentral.
GAUGAACGCUGGCGGCGUGCCUAAUACAUGCAAGUCGAGCGAACGGACGAGAAGCUUGCUUCUCUGAUGCUAGCGGCGGACGGGUGAGUAACACGUGGAUAACCUACCUAUAAGACUGGGAUAACUUCGGGAAACCGGAGCUAAUACCGGAUAAUAUUUUGAACCGCAUGGUUCAAAAGUGAAAGACGGUCUUGCUGUCACUUAUAGAUGGAUCCGCGCUGCAUUAGCUAGUUGGUAAGGUAACGGCUUACCAAGGCAACGAUGCAUAGCCGACCUGAGAGGGUGAUCGGCCACACUGGAACUGAGACACGGUCCAGACUCCUACGGGAGGCAGCAGUAGGGAAUCUUCCGCAAUGGGCGAAAGCCUGACGGAGCAACGCCGCGUGAGUGAUGAAGGUCUUCGGAUCGUAAAACUCUGUUAUUAGGGAAGAACAUAUGUGUAAGUAACUGUGCACAUCUUGACGGUACCUAAUCAGAAGGCCACGGCUAACUACGUG